Molecule: small RNA, 95 nt
Filed under: Bordetella pseudohinzii
Lineage: Bacteria; Pseudomonadati; Pseudomonadota; Betaproteobacteria; Burkholderiales; Alcaligenaceae
Description: putative trans-activated CRISPR RNA (tracrRNA)
Source: RNAcentral
GAACAGUUCACUGGGAAUUGCGCUCUGGACGCUAACAAGCAGAAAGAUGCACCAAAUGGAAGGCCCCGCAUGCGGGGCCUUCGUCAUUUCUUCGG